This 253-nucleotide ribosomal RNA is filed under the name uncultured bacterium. RNAcentral's name for it is "partial 16S ribosomal RNA". It matches the Rfam family "Bacterial small subunit ribosomal RNA", at positions 524 to 776 of the family's 1533-position model. The record is from RNAcentral.
UACAGAGGUCUCAACCGUUGUUCGGAUUCAUUGGGCGUAAAGGGCGCGUAGGCGGUCGCGUAAGUCGGAUGUGAAAUCUCAGGGCUCAACCCUGAAACUGCAUUCGAUACUGCGUGGCUAGGGUACUGGAGAGGAGACUGGAAUUUACGGUGUAGCAGUGAAAUGCGUAGAUAUCGUAAGGAAGACCAGUGGCGAAGGCGAGUCUCUGGACAGUUACCGACGCUGAGGCACGAAGGCCAGGGGAGCAAACGGG